UGACAUUCCUGCUCCAGAGCAGCCUGGGACUCACCCAGCCCACCCCUGAGGAGCUGGCCAAGCUGCCUGGGCCACCACGAGCCACUUUGGGGGAUGUUCACAAGGCCAUGCAUAAAAUGAGUAUGAAAAUUGUGGAUUUUUCAAAUGAAAUGCAUGGAGAGAUUGUCUCGGUGUGGACAUGGUGCCCUGAACACUGUUUUGCACAGUUCCUGCUCACUCUCCAUGGAAGAUUUUGGCUGCUGUUCUUAAGAGUUCUCAUCACUGGUGAGCACUUACAGAACAUCUGCAAACAGCAGGAGGGGCUGGCACAGCGUGUUGCCCUGGUAGAUGACAUCUGUAACGCUGGCAGAAGAGG
Long non-coding RNA from Chloebia gouldiae (Gouldian finch), 355 nucleotides. NCBI's taxonomy places the organism in Eukaryota, Metazoa, Chordata, Aves, Passeriformes, Passeridae. The record is from Ensembl.